CCUGUUAUGAAGCUCUAUCUUUGGGACCAAGCUGCUGUGGAUUUCUGCAAGAAGUUCAAGUCUUCUGACAACACUCCCUCCGUGAUUUUGGUGACUACUGUUUACCCCAAACGUUUAGGAGGCACACUUGCUCUCACAUCCAUGACCUCCUCACGGGUCUUUUUGACUACGAGGUCCAACCAACUAAAGAGUAUAUCGACUGGUAUGUUUAAAAAUUUAGUAUAUAAUAGUUAGAACCCUUGCCACUUACAAUCAGUUUGAGUUAUGAAAUGUUUUCAAACGUUGGAGCAGGUUGGAAAUAAAUCCAUAUAUUGCCAAGCAGGUCAAUGCAGAUGUGGUUACAAAAACUGAGACAUUGACUAUUGGAGAAAUAUUCUCCUACAUGAAGCAGGGAGCUGUGAAGGUAUAAAAAAUUAUAUUUGUUUCUAAUUCAUUGUUUAACAUAUUUUUACUUAUCUUAAUUGCUUACACAUUGUCUCAGGAUGCUUUCUUUGUGUGCACUGCGACAAUCGAUGAUGUUGUCCACGACUCUUCUUGGUAUUAUAUAGCAUGCAGUGGGUUCAAAACAAAGGCAACCAAAGGGCCAACCUCCCUUAUGUGCGCAAAAUGUGGCAAGAACGAUGUUGCCGGUGAACCACAGUACCUAGCUAAGAUUAUGUUUAUGAUAAGAGUGAUGAGGCUGUUUUUGUUCUCCUUGGCGAUGCCGGUCGUGAGCUAACAGGGAAGCAUGCGUCGGAGUUGGUUAGCAAUUAUUUUGAGGCCAAUGGAAAUAAAGAAAAUGGAUUCGAGGUGCCCGUUCCGCAAGCUCUGCUCAACACCAUAGGGCAAACACACAAGUUCAAUGUAAAGGUGACUGAGCACAAUUUUUCAGGCAGGACGCGGGUAAUAACCGUGACGAAGGUCCUGUCCCCAUCUGCUCCACUAUCUACACAAGAUCCAGUUGCUGAUCAAAUUAGUGGCUCUGGUAAUGGAACACUUGCGACUGGGUAUGACGUUAUUGAGCCAUCCAAAAGCCCUCAAGAUUCUGCAGAGGUAGGGCUGAAAAGGAUGGGUGAUGGUGUUGAGAUAGGCAACGCUAAACGUUCUAAAGAUGGGAACUAAUAUGCCUCUCAUCGUGGCAAAGAAUGCAACUUUUACUACACUUAUCUGUUUUAGCUUUCCAGUUUUUUUUGGCUUUUGUUUGACUCUUUCUCCUAAUUCUGCUUAUUUCAUACUUUUGAAUCUAUUUUGGAAACAAUUUGUUUUUUAAAGCAUGGUACUAACUUUUUUUGAAUCAGCAUGAGUUUCACGUUAAAAGCAUGAUACUAACUUUUUUUUAAAAAAUUACCGGACCCAAAUUAGUGCUACCAAAUAAUAUCUAAUGCCUUGAUUUAUGCCUCAUAUCAAAAGAAUCAAUUGCACAACUAAGUUGAAUAUAUUUUUUCCCAUAAUUGUAAAUCUUUACAUAAAAAAACAGAGCCAAUAUAUUAUCUCCAUAAAAGUCUAUGUCACUCAUUAGCUUGAUUUUACUUUUAAUACAAGUUUUGAUUUUCAUUGAACGUGGAUUAAAAGUUUUAUAUCUCCCUCGAUUAGAAAAUAUUUGAAAACAAAACAAAACACCUAGAUUAAGUCCCCUUUGUCUAAAAAAAAUUAGACUAUAUUUUUUUUUGUGGAAUUUUUUUCCAAAAAGACAGAUUAUCAUAGGAUAGAAUUUUGGUUUUUUGUCUACCUAUUGAUUUGUUUAGUUCCCUGGCACAUAGGUUGUGUUUCCAGUGAGUAUAUACGAAAAAUAUAGAACACUAUGAGAAGCCAAACUCUGGAAAGCAUAGCCAAACCACGCUUGGCCAACAUAUAAAUGUUAGAUGUUAGUAACUAUUAAUUUGGCUAAAUGGUUUCCUAUAAGUAUGCCAGUAUAC
Molecule: long non-coding RNA, 1895 nt
Organism: Brassica rapa (field mustard)
Lineage: Eukaryota; Viridiplantae; Streptophyta; Magnoliopsida; Brassicales; Brassicaceae
Source: RefSeq, a predicted model, not a curated record